Long non-coding RNA from Solanum lycopersicum (tomato), 2014 nucleotides. RefSeq lists it as uncharacterized. Lineage: Eukaryota; Viridiplantae; Streptophyta; Magnoliopsida; Solanales; Solanaceae. The record is from RefSeq and is a predicted model, not a curated record.
AACAAUCUGCUGUUCCAAGACUUUUCCCAAAGUGCCAAACGCGGACAACAACAAGGAAGAACGACACACGUGAGUAGAAAACGCGAAGGUCCCAUUGAUGGUGUUACAUGGGAGGUAUUAACAAUACCAACCGCGCGUGAUCCGCACGUCCCAACGUCUUCUUCCUCUAUCCCAUUCUGCUUUGGACAGUACUUUCGGCUGCAACUUUUGUGCGUUUCCAGCUACUUCCUUCGUCCCCCUUAGCGCGAGAUCAUGCCACAUCGAUACCAAGGACGGGAGAUCGAUUUUAAUCGUCCAUUCCGCUUUCCCUUUUCAGAAUAGAGUUAGAAUUUCAGAAAAAGGGUGCAGAAGUCGGUACUCUUUCAGGUUCACUAUUGUCCUUGUUCUGCUGCCCCUCUGAAGGUAAUCUUCCAUUUCCCUUUUAAGUAUCCCUUGCUCUUAAUAUGUUGUUGAUGAGAGUGUAGAGUAGUCGUCUACAUGAUAGAGUGGGUGAUCUAUUUUUUUCUAUCUUCGGACUCGUCGCUGGCUAUUGUGUAGUAAUAGAAUCUGUUUUUUAAGCUAUUAUUGUCAUUUAUUUCCGUUUUCAAAAUGAUUUGGUGUCUAUCUAGCUUACAUUGUUGUUUUGUGUUUCUUCGAGCUAAUGGCUAUUAUGCUUGCCUUAAGAUUGGACUUUUCAUUUGUUAAACAUCAUGCUUCUAGUCCAUCUCUGUUUAGCUAAAUAUUUUCUCGUUUUGCUAUAUAUCCUUAAGUAUCAAAGAAGUCGUUUUAUCCUCUCUCUAUGGGUCUCCUAUUUUAUGGAUUUCUGCUUGCUCCGUGUGUGCGUUUAGCUAUGACUAUUUCGUUCUAAAAGGGGAUUGAAACCUGCAGCAGGCUGCUUGUCCUAGUGUCAAGUCGUUCAAAUGUUUUUCCUUGUUCUGAAAAUGAAUCUCAAAUGUGAUGUAGGUUUAGUAUGGCUGACAUGUUUAGUUUAUCGAGUAUGUUAAUAUUUUCCUCUAAAUGACUCGACUAUUUGUUGUGUUCAAAGAGCAUGCCCCUUAACAUAAUGAACUAGCAUAACCAAGCUCUUCACUUAUGGAGUUAGUUCGAUAUCCUCAUUCCGAUAAUUUCACUUAAAGUACGCAUGCAAGUUGCUUCUACAUGAAAAUCUAUGAUUGCCAUUGUUUGCCAUUUAUUAAUUUGGUUUGUUUUGGUUUCCCAUAUAGCCACUGUUCAUUCUUUUGCCUAAUCUUUUUUGGUUUUAUGCUUUCUUCUUUCAUUGUUUUGUUUGUUUCUCAAAAGACCUUUUGUUAUGUUUUCGUCUUGAUUUGUUCCAUUAGUUUUACUUUGAUACGGAUACUAAUUCUCUCUUUUUUACCAAUUUGUUGUAUGAACCUCCUCCGAGUUCAUAACGGAGUUCUUUAGUUGCAUUCUUAUAUUCGAGCCAUGAAGGCUCAAAUCUCUUGUCGCCUUCGAGUCAGCCAGAUUGCUAUUGUGUAGAGCAAAAACCUUAAAACAAAGGCUGGAAAUGGAGCUUGCAAGUUCCAAAAAGCUAAAAUAAGUGUUGAUAUGCUGUUGUAUAUAGCGAUAUAUGGUCCAAAACACCAUGAUACGUGUGUGGAAAUUGAUAUUACAUGUGUAAAUAAGGAAAACUCAAAGGUGUGCAGGUUGAAUACAUCAGAUACUGCUGGAAAUUCAUUUUUGCAGCCCCAAAGGGCCUAAAACGCAGUGAUAUAUCAUCUGUAUACACUGAUAUACAGCUGGAAUAUAGCACAGAUGGGUGCGAAACGUGAAAAUGCAGGUGAAACGUGCAGGGACAUCGAAUUCAAAUAAAAUACAGGCUAGGGAUUCCAAGAAUCGGUAGUAUACGUGAUGUAUACAUCAAAUAUACACUUGGUGUAUAUCAUGGAAAAUGUGGACAAAAAGGGCCUAAAUCUUAAAGAAUUUUGGGCCCAAGUCCAUUUGUGAUAACUAAAUAAAAGAACUUUAUCUUUUAGUCAAAACAUGAAAAAUUAUAUGAAAGUCAUUUUUAGUCAAA